Molecule: ribosomal RNA, 631 nt
Filed under: uncultured Flavobacterium sp.
Lineage: Bacteria; Pseudomonadati; Bacteroidota; Flavobacteriia; Flavobacteriales; Flavobacteriaceae
Description: bacterial SSU rRNA
Rfam family: Bacterial small subunit ribosomal RNA
Source: RNAcentral
CGAGGGGUAUAGUAGCAAUACUAGAGACCGGCGCACGGGUGCGUAACGCGUAUGCAAUCUACCUUAUACAGAGGGAUAGCCCAGAGAAAUUUGGAUUAAUACCUCAUAGCAUAGCAACUUCGCAUGAAGUCACUAUUAAAGUUCCAACGGUAUAAGAUGAGCAUGCGUCCUAUUAGCUAGAUGGUAAGGUAACGGCUUACCAUGGCUACGAUAGGUAGGGGUCCUGAGAGGGAGAUCCCCCACACUGGUACUGAGACACGGACCAGACUCCUACGGGAGGCAGCAGUGAGGAAUAUUGGACAAUGGGCGCAAGCCUGAUCCAGCCAUGCCGCGUGCAGGAAGACGCAUCUAUGGUGUGUAAACUGCUUUUGUACGGGAAGAAACACUCCCUCGUGAGGGAGCUUGACGGUACCGUAAGAAUAAGGAUCGGCUAACUCCGUGCCAGCAGCCGCGGUAAUACGGAGGAUCCAAGCGUUAUCCGGAAUCAUUGGGUUUAAAGGGUCCGUAGGCGGUUUGGUAAGUCAGUGGUGAAAGCCCAUCGCUUAACGAUGGAACGGCCAUUGAUACUGCCAGACUUGAAUUACUGGGAAGUAACUAGAAUAUGUAGUGUAGCGGUGAAAUGCUUAGAUAU